Molecule: unclassified non-coding RNA, 146 nt
Filed under: fungal sp.
Lineage: Eukaryota; Fungi
Description: partial internal transcribed spacer region
Rfam family: Eukaryotic small subunit ribosomal RNA (bases 1-46)
Source: RNAcentral
AAGUCGUAACAAGGUUUCCGUAGGUGAACCUGCGGAAGGAUCAUUGGGGAGAGAUUGGAGAAGAGCGUUGGAAUGAACGAUUACACAUCUAUUACUACUACAACCAAUAUACACAACAACUGCUGACAAUGGAUCUCUGGGCUCUU